UUCAUCCAGUUACGCAGGUUGAUGAUCUCAGUGUCAUCCUCAACCCCUUAGUCUUCCUUAGCCUACAUAUCCAAUCAGUUGCCAAAUCUUGUCGUUUCUAUCUCUGCUACAUUUUUUUUCCUCUACACUCACAAAGGCCCUGCCUAAUUCACACUCUUGUCACUUCUUUCCUGGACUUCUGCACAGAGAUGACACAGUGGAUAGAACAGGAGGCAAAGAAUCAGGAAGACCUUCGUUCACUUAUGGACUCAAAUACUUAUCUGGAAUCCUUGCUUUCCUUCAGACUCAGCCUACCUCCUGCAGGAACCUGCUCCUGGUCCUUCCUUCUCCUUGACACUAACUUCUAUUGCCUUCAUCUUUAAGGGAUGUGAGAAAACUGGGACAUUGAUGCAUUGUUG
Molecule: long non-coding RNA, 398 nt
Organism: Sarcophilus harrisii (Tasmanian devil)
Lineage: Eukaryota; Metazoa; Chordata; Mammalia; Dasyuromorphia; Dasyuridae
Exons: 3
Source: RefSeq, a predicted model, not a curated record